UACUGUGGUCUUUCCCUUUAGGACAGACGUUAUUCUCAUCCUUUUGCAAGUCAUGAACCCUGAGUUUACUUCCAGGCCUUCCUCAUAUCUAUUGUGUUUCAUGAAAAAGAGGGCGGACCCUAACCUUUCAUGCCUCAUGUUCAUAGCCUUCAAAUGACUCUCAGUUGCCCAGGAGGGACACCGCCUUAGCUCCCCAGGGAUGCCGACAGGCUACCCGAGGCAUUGAGCUCAAGGAUGGUUUCUAUAAGUCGGGCAUCAGAGGCAGCAGAGAAGACCCUCCUGCAGCUCAUCUCAACUGAGAUGGACAAUGAGAUGUGAUGACAUCACCUGUUGGGCUGAUGAUUAUGACUGAUUCAAGUAGAUGUCAGUUUUGUCCUCUAGAAAUUCAAGCCCUGAAGAAAAGCAACACUUACAGAGAGGGAAGGGGUAGGUUGACAUCUACAUAAAUAUUGACAGAAAAGGAAAACAGUGAGAAACACGGUCUCACAGAAAAGAGGAGACAGAAGGCAGCCCAUUGGAGUGGAGAUUCCCAAGGUACAUGCUGCUCAAAAUCUUUGUUUUAUCAGCACCCGGUACAAGAGGCCUUUUGUGCACAAUUUCCCUGGUGUCUCUCCAAGUACAUU
Molecule: long non-coding RNA, 623 nt
Filed under: Ictidomys tridecemlineatus (thirteen-lined ground squirrel)
Lineage: Eukaryota; Metazoa; Chordata; Mammalia; Rodentia; Sciuridae
Description: lncRNA (ENSSTOG00000033404.1)
Source: RNAcentral